Long non-coding RNA from Acinonyx jubatus (cheetah), 1228 nucleotides. RefSeq lists it as uncharacterized. The transcript has 5 exons. NCBI's taxonomy places the organism in Eukaryota, Metazoa, Chordata, Mammalia, Carnivora, Felidae. The record is from RefSeq and is a predicted model, not a curated record.
CCUCCCGGGGACCCGCAGGGCUGCGGGGAGGGCCGCGGGCUCCCGGCCGCCCUCCAGCGCGGAGGCGGGGCUUGCCGGCGGGCGGGAGAGGCCCCCAGACCCCGCGGGCGGGGGGCGCCCUCCCUCGAGCUGCCGGUCGGGCACGCUUGCGGGCGUCCGGAGCGCUACCGGGUGCCCUGGGGUUGUGUUCGGGGUCGCUUUUGCCUUUCCUGGCCCAAACCUUCCUCCGCCAGAAGAUGCCCCGGGCGGGAAAAGAACCGGCGGGGCAAGAACAUUGUGGAACCUUCUGGACAAGGGGAUGCAAAGAAGGAAAAGCCAAGUGGAGUGUGGGCACACGCAGACCACCCCGAUGGUGUUGAUUUCCAUGACUUAAAUCAUUCAAUCCAGAACUGGUCCCCGCUUCCCUAAAUCCUCCACAGAACCAUGGAACAGAAGCCCCAAUGUAAAGAGACUCCUAUGAAGACUUCCCCUAGGAUGGAUUGAAACCUUCCCAUGCAGAACAGCUGAUGCCACAACGGUGACUAAGGAACUUUUAGAAAAUAUAUUUCCUGAUGGGGUGUCCAAAGAGUGAUCUCCAGGGAUAGGGGAACCCACUUCCCUGGGUGGCCAAACUUUCCACAACUUAGAAACUGGAGAGUGGGUCUUCUGGAAACAACCCCUAAGGAAGGUUGCCCUUGAACCUCGUUGGAAGGGAUCAUACCAUGUUCUCCUUACUACUCAGGUGGCAGCCAAAUCUCAGGGACUUGCACCUUGGGGUCCACGUGUCCCAAUUGAAAAGGGCUCUUCCGGACUCAGAACUGUAUGCGAGCCAGAGACGUAAAGUUAACAUAGACCGGGGAGCUUCCUCCCCCGAAGCCGUCAACAUCUUGAGUUGGACAACUUUCCCAAGAUCAUGGGUCAAGCUCUUAAUCUCCAAUAUGAAAUUGUUAUUCCUUUUGUCUAUUUGCUAUUUGCUUUCCUCUCUAUUAAUGCCUGGGGAGACACCACUAUAAUUAGGAUUUCGCAAAUACUACCACUGCAGGAAACUUAGCGAAUUGCUGGAUAUGCCACGCCAUGCCAAAAUCGGGAUGUGCAGGGAGAGACCCCUUAGUUCACCCUAUGAGUAAUUUCACUGACAUCCCACAUGCCGUUGUAUGCCUAAAUUGUUCCACAGGCCCCUUUUAUAAAGUUAAAAUAUUAAAUCUUUGCCUUAAGUUAAAGAUCCCUAAAUCUGGGAUUUGGAAAUGAA